This 442-nucleotide ribosomal RNA is filed under the name uncultured bacterium. RNAcentral's name for it is "partial 16S ribosomal RNA". It matches the Rfam family "Bacterial small subunit ribosomal RNA", at positions 338 to 795 of the family's 1533-position model. The record is from RNAcentral.
CCUACGGGAGGCAGCAGUGGGGAAUAUUGGGCAAUGGACGCAAGUCUGACCCAGCAACGCCGCGUGAAGGAAGAAGGCUUUCGGGUUGUCAACUUCUUUUAAGGGGGAAGAGCAGAAGACGGUACCCCUUGAAUAAGCCACGGCUAACUACGUGCCAGCAGCCGCGGGAAUACGUGGGUGGCAAGCGUUGUCCGGAUUUACUGGGUUUAAAGGGCGUGCAGCCGGAGAGACAAGUCAGAUGUGAAAUCCACGGGCUCAACCCGUGAACUGCAUUUGAAACUGUUUCCCUUGAGUGUCGGAGAGGUAAGCGGAAUUCCUUGUGUAGCGGUGAAAUGCGUAGAUAGAAGGAAGAACACCAGUGGCGAAGGCGGAUUACUGGACGAUAACUGACGGUGAGGUGCGAAAGCGUGGGGAGCAAACAGGAUUAGAUACCCCGGUAGUC